This 424-nucleotide ribosomal RNA is filed under the name Fusobacteriota bacterium. RNAcentral describes it as "Fusobacteria bacterium partial 16S ribosomal RNA". It matches the Rfam family "Bacterial small subunit ribosomal RNA", at positions 355 to 776 of the family's 1533-position model. The record is from RNAcentral. Lineage: Bacteria; Fusobacteriati; Fusobacteriota.
UGAGGAAUAUUGGUCAAUGGGCGAGAGCCUGAACCAGCCAAGUAGCGUGCAGGAUGACGGCCCUAUGGGUUGUAAACUGCUUUUAUGUGGGGAUAAAGUGCGUGACGUGUCAUGCAUUGCAGGUACCACAUGAAUAAGGACCGGCUAAUUCCGUGCCAGCAGCCGCGGUAAUACGGAAGGUCCGGGCGUUAUCCGGAUUUAUUGGGUUUAAAGGGAGCGUAGGCUGUCUAUUAAGCGUGUUGUGAAAUAUACCGGCUCAACCGGUGGCUUGCAGCGCGAACUGGUCGACUUGAGUAUGCAGGAAGUAGGCGGAAUUCAUGGUGUAGCGGUGAAAUGCUUAGAUAUCAUAACGAACUCCGAUUGCGCAGGCAGCUUACUGUAGCAUAACUGACGCUGAUGCUCGAAAGUGCGGGUAUCAAACAGG